AAGUCGUAACAAGGUUUCCGUAGGUGAACCUGCGGAAGGAUCAUUAACACGUAUCCACGUAUCAACCAAUGCGAACUUGUUUUCAAUCUCCCUUGACCCUACAUGAAUUGACAAUAGGCAGUGAUCGAGAGAGGAGCUCUUCGGGGCUCAUCGCUGCCUACCAACUGAUCUUCGGAUCGACAAUUGUAGUAGGGUUGAGACUCUUCUGACGUGAGCAUAGCCACUCUUUGGGCCAGCUUCGUUGGAUACACACCUAUCUCACCCCCUUUUUGCUAGUUGACUUUAUAUAUGUUAGUAGUGAGUAUGCUUGCAUACGACCUAUUACACGUUUAUUUAUUUGAACGUUAUGAAACAACUCUUAGCAAUGGAUAUCUUGGUUCUC
This 382-nucleotide unclassified non-coding RNA is filed under the name fungal sp. RNAcentral describes it as "partial internal transcribed spacer region". The stretch from base 1 to 46 matches the Rfam family "Eukaryotic small subunit ribosomal RNA", at positions 1786 to 1831 of the family's 1831-position model. The record is from RNAcentral. Lineage: Eukaryota; Fungi.